GGAGGCGUGGCAGAGUGGCCGAUCGCGGCGGUUUUGAAAACCGCUGUGCCGCAAGGCACCGGGGGUUCGAAUCCCUCCGCCUCCGCCC
Molecule: transfer RNA, 88 nt
Filed under: Planctomycetota bacterium
Lineage: Bacteria; Pseudomonadati; Planctomycetota
Description: Planctomycetes bacterium (freshwater metagenome) tRNA-Ser
Rfam family: tRNA
About the family: Transfer RNA (tRNA) molecules are approximately 80 nucleotides in length. Their secondary structure includes four short double-helical elements and three loops (D, anti-codon, and T loops).
Source: RNAcentral